CUAAAGUUGAAUGUACUGUUUUAUGCUACAAGUGAUUUUCAUUUUCUUAGUUUUGCUAUUAUAUCUUGUGAUUUGUGUUGGGCAUCUUAUAUUAUAUAUCUACAAAAUGAACUAAUACAAUUUGAAUGUUAGUUGAUUUUUUAUCAAGAACUUUGUUGCUGCAAUUGUACAAGGUCUAGGUAAUUAAAAUUUAAGAAUAUGAGUGAUACGCCAUCAUCAAAUGCUGGUUCUCCUACUGGUCCUUGUACUCCAACCACUGCUAGUACUCCAGAUGUCUCUAUUGGGUCUACUAGUUGCUCAUCAACAUCUGCUCGGUUGGUCAUCUCAGUUGUAGCGGAAAAAUUCGUUCCUAAUGGUCAUUCUAUCUCGAAGACCAUCACAGAAACUUUCAAGGAACGACAAGAUGCUACUGGCUACUCAUGGAAGGAUGUCAGUCAAUCAACUCGUAAAUUUUAUUGGCAUGAAUUUUUGAAAUCAUAUUAGUGGAAUCCUACUGAAAAUUCUAUAAUGGAACGUACAUGGAAUAAGGUGGCAUCCACUUUAUACUCCAAGAAAAUGUAUAUUUGGCGAAAAGGUACAGUCAAACCUAAUUUUGUUUUGGAGGAUAUUUGGAGAAGUUGGAAGACGCAUUGGGCCUCAGAUGAAUGGAUGGAUAAAUCUCGUAUCGCCACUCGAAAUCGAUGUAGUGAGACUGGUGGACUAGGCACUGGUCCAAGCAAGCAUACCGGUGGUUCUAGAUCAACAGUGGAGCAUACUAUAAAAUUGGCAAUAGAACUACGUCGUCCACCAAAUUCCGUGGGAUAUAUUUAAGAAGUUGCAUAAAAGAAAGGAUGGCAGCUUUGUUGAUGCCAAGUACUAAAUGCAUUAAUGAUAAAAUGGAGGUUGUCUUAGCUGCUGCUAUUUCUAGCUCCUCAGAUGAUUCACAAGAAGUUCAAGAACUUGAUAUAAAUAACUUAUACUUUGAUGUUGUGGGUGGAGAAAAAAAACGACGUGUGUAUGGUUUAGGCUCUCAAGGUUUGGCGUUGUAUCAAGAUCAAAAUUCUAUCACUUCGCGCAAUUUACCUGCGGUGUCUGAUGAUGUUGCUGAAAAGCGCAUUAAACUACUUGAGGAAGAAGUGUUGCAUAUGAGAGAAAAUCAAGAGAGAGUUCUUCAAGAACGUUUAGAGGCGGAGGUGCAACAAUGAGUAGAGCACGAGGUCUCGCGUUUGAGGCAACAAAGUGAUGAUCGAUUCAAGUCUAUGGAGGAACGAUGGUCUCGCAUGAUGAGCGAGAUGGCGUUAUCCUCACGCUCAUCUAGUAAUCCUUCUCCUUAAUAGGAAAUGACCAAAUGUUUAUGUGUUUAAAUAUUUGUACACUUUUGCUUAUUGAAGUUGUGCUUUGACAUGUUUUAACUUCAUAAUUUUGUAUUAUAAA
Solanum tuberosum (potato) is the source of this 1413-nucleotide RNA transcript. RefSeq lists it as uncharacterized. NCBI's taxonomy places the organism in Eukaryota, Viridiplantae, Streptophyta, Magnoliopsida, Solanales, Solanaceae. The record is from RefSeq and is a predicted model, not a curated record. The transcript is spliced from 5 exons.